This 433-nucleotide ribosomal RNA is filed under the name uncultured bacterium. RNAcentral's name for it is "partial 16S ribosomal RNA". It matches the Rfam family "Bacterial small subunit ribosomal RNA", at positions 29 to 507 of the family's 1533-position model. The record is from RNAcentral.
AACGAACGCUGGCGGCAUGCCUAACACAUGCAAGUCGAACGAGACCUUCGGGUCUAGUGGCGCACGGGUGCGUAACGCGUGGGAACCUGCCCUUAGGUUCGGAAUAACUCCCCGAAAGGGGUGCUAAUACCGGAUAAUGUCUUCGGACCAAAGAUUUAUCGCCUUUGGAUGGGCCCGCGUUUGAUUAGCUAGUUGGUAGGGUAAAAGCCUACCAAGGCGACGAUCCAUAGCUGGUCUGAGAGGAUGAUCAGCCACACUGGGACUGAGACACGGCCCAGACUCCUACGGGAGGCAGCAGUGGGGAAUAUUGGACAAUGGGCGAAAGCCUGAUACAGCAAUGCCGCGUGAGUGAUGAAGGCCUUAGGGUUGUAAAGCUCUUUUACCCGGGAUGAUAAUGACAGUACCGGGAGAAUAAGCUCCGGCUAACUCCGUG